CAGCGGAGCAAAGGCUGUGGCUGAGGAAUUCCCUCUGCAAGUCACUCGCUGGAAACUUUUGGCUUUUUCUAUCACAGUAAUGAGGAAAAAAUAAGGAUUUCUCCAGUUCCCGGCCCAGAUCCAUCCAUCUCAGUUGCAUGCUCCAGCCUUAACCCGCCGGGAAAGCUGCUACGGAAAGUUUAUUUGCUAGGACGUAAGAUCGGUCUGCAAGAAGCUUUAAGAAAAGAAGCCUGUCCGACUGGUCGCUUGAGGCCCGAGAGUAUUAAAGCAGUCUAUAGUCAAAUGUCUGCAUGCCACCUAGUGGGCUUUUUACAACAUUAAUAAUCCUAAUGCUUUUUCCGCAAAAGACCAAACUUGGGUUUUCCUUUCAUAAGUUUGUAAAACAAAUACAAAUUUUACAUGAGCAGAAA
Long non-coding RNA from Varanus komodoensis (Komodo dragon), 410 nucleotides. RefSeq lists it as uncharacterized. The record is from RefSeq and is a predicted model, not a curated record. The transcript has 2 exons. Lineage: Eukaryota; Metazoa; Chordata; Lepidosauria; Squamata; Varanidae.